This 73-nucleotide transfer RNA is filed under the name Mus caroli (Ryukyu mouse). RNAcentral's name for it is "tRNA-Sup (TCA) (tRNA-Sup-TCA-1-1)". It matches the Rfam family "tRNA". Rfam says of the family: Transfer RNA (tRNA) molecules are approximately 80 nucleotides in length. Their secondary structure includes four short double-helical elements and three loops (D, anti-codon, and T loops). Further hydrogen bonds mediate the characteristic L-shaped molecular structure. tRNAs have two regions of fundamental functional importance: the anti-codon, which is responsible for specific mRNA codon recognition, and the 3' end, to which the tRNAs corresponding amino acid is attached (by aminoacyl-tRNA synthetases). tRNAs cope with the degeneracy of the genetic code in two manners: having more than one tRNA (with a specific anti-codon) for a particular amino acid; and 'wobble' base-pairing, i.e. permitting non-standard base-pairing at the 3rd anti-codon position. Lineage: Eukaryota; Metazoa; Chordata; Mammalia; Rodentia; Muridae. The record is from RNAcentral.
GGCCAUGUGGCCUAAUGGAUAAGGCGUCUGACUUCAGAUCAGAAGAAUGCAGGUUCGAGUCCUGCUGCGGUCG